GAUGAACGCUGGCGGCGUGCCUAAUACAUGCAAGUCGAGCGAACAGACGAGGAGCUUGCUCCUCUGACGUUAGCGGCGGACGGGUGAGUAACACGUGGAUAACCUACCUCUACGACUGGGAUAACUUCGGGAAACCGGAGCUAAUACCGGAUAAUAUAUUGAACCGCAUGGUUCAAUAGUGAAAGACGGUUUUGCUGUCACUUAUAGAUGGAUCCGCGCCGCAUUAGCUAGUUGGUAAGGUAACGGCUUACCAAGGCAACGAUGCGUAGCCGACCUGAGAGGGUGAUCGGCCACACUGGAACUGAGACACGUUCCAGACUCCUACGGGAGGCAGCAGUAGGGAAUCUUCCGCAAUGGGCGAAAGCUUGACGUAGCAACGCCGCGUGAGUGAUGAAGGUCUUCGGCUCGUAAAACUCUGUUAUUAGGGAAGAACAAAUGUGUAAGUAACUAUGCACGUCUUGACGGUACCUAAUCAGAAAGCCACGGCUAACUACGUG
Molecule: ribosomal RNA, 497 nt
Filed under: uncultured bacterium
Lineage: Bacteria
Description: partial 16S ribosomal RNA
Rfam family: Bacterial small subunit ribosomal RNA
Source: RNAcentral